CUUUGAAAAUGCUGUUUUCCUUCCUGGCCUUCUUUCUCCGUCUGCAUCUUGAGGGAUUUGAAAUGCGAUUAGUGGGGAUGUCCUCACCUCCCAGAGCCACCCACUUUGUUACCUUGUUCUCUUUGGGAUGACUGAGAGUAAGCACAUCCCUGGGCACCUUAGGGACCCCCAACAAUGAAAUUCUGGCCUUUUCCCCCUUUCCCUUCUCUGUGUCCCAGUCAGGGUACAUGGAGACGGACUGCCCUUAUUUCAUGGAAGUGCUGUCUCUCUCUUCUUUCUUCUUUUGUUUUUUGGUCUCAGGGAGUGAUCCCAGGGGCGCUUAACCCC
This 327-nucleotide long non-coding RNA is filed under the name Marmota monax (woodchuck). Lineage: Eukaryota; Metazoa; Chordata; Mammalia; Rodentia; Sciuridae. The record is from RNAcentral.